This 1427-nucleotide ribosomal RNA is filed under the name uncultured organism. RNAcentral describes it as "16S ribosomal RNA". It matches the Rfam family "Bacterial small subunit ribosomal RNA". The record is from RNAcentral.
CGCUAGCUACAGGCUUAACACAUGCAAGUCCCCUUGAAGCGGGAAGAAAGCUUGCUUUCUUUGCCGGCGACCGGCGCACGGGUGAGUAACACGUAUCCAACCUGCCCUUUACUCGGGGAUAGCCUUUCGAAAGAAAGAUUAAUACCCGAUAGCAUAAUGAUUCCGCAUGGUUUCAUUAUUAAAGGAUUCCGGUAAAGGAUGGGGAUGCGUUCCAUUAGGUUGUUGGUGAGGUAACGGCUCACCAAGCCUUCGAUGGAUAGGGGUUCUGAGAGGAAGGUCCCCCACAUUGGAACUGAGACACGGUCCAAACUCCUACGGGAGGCAGCAGUGAGGAAUAUUGGUCAAUGGGCGCUAGCCUGAACCAGCCAAGUAGCGUGAAGGAUGAAGGCUCUAUGGGUCGUAAACUUCUUUUAUAUAAGAAUAAAGUGCAGUAUGUAUACUGUUUUGUAUGUAUUAUAUGAAUAAGGAUCGGCUAACUCCGUGCCAGCAGCCGCGGUAAUACGGAGGAUCCGAGCGUUAUCCGGAUUUAUUGGGUUUAAAGGGAGCGUAGGUGGACUGGUAAGUCAGUUGUGAAAGUUUGCGGCUCAACCGUAAAAUUGCAGUUGAUACUGUCAGUCUUGAGUACAGUAGAGGUGGGCGGAAUUCGUGGUGUAGCGGUGAAAUGCUUAGAUAUCACGAAGAACUCCGAUUGCGAAGGCAGCUCACUGGACUGCAACUGACACUGAUGCUCGAAAGUGUGGGUAUCAAACAGGAUUAGAUACCCUGGUAGUCCACACAGUAAACGAUGAAUACUCGCUGUUUGCGAUAUACAGUAAGCGGCCAAGCGAAAGCAUUAAGUAUUCCACCUGGGGAGUACGCCGGCAACGGUGAAACUCAAAGGAAUUGACGGGGGCCCGCACAAGCGGAGGAACAUGUGGUUUAAUUCGAUGAUACGCGAGGAACCUUACCCGGGCUUAAAUUGCAGUGGAAUGAUGUGGAAACAUGUCAGUGAGCAAUCACCGCUGUGAAGGUGCUGCAUGGUUGUCGUCAGCUCGUGCCGUGAGGUGUCGGCUUAAGUGCCAUAACGAGCGCAACCCUUAUCUUCAGUUACUAACAGGUCAUGCUGAGGACUCUGGAGGGACUGCCGUCGUAAGAUGUGAGGAAGGUGGGGAUGACGUCAAAUCAGCACGGCCCUUACGUCCGGGGCUACACACGUGUUACAAUGGGGGGUACAGAAGGCAGCUAGCGGGUGACCGUAUGCUAAUCCCAAAAGCCUCUCUCAGUUCGGAUCGAAGUCUGCAACCCGACUUCGUGAAGCUGGAUUCGCUAGUAAUCGCGCAUCAGCCACGGCGCGGUGAAUACGUUCCCGGGCCUUGUACACACCGCCCGUCAAGCCAUGGGAGCCGGGGGUACCAGAAGUACGUAACCGCAAGGAUCGUCCUAGGGUA